GCGCCCAUAGUUCAAUGGUAGAACAUCCGCCUUUUAAGCGGUCAACGAUGGUCCGAUUCCAUCUGGGCGCACCA
This 74-nucleotide transfer RNA is filed under the name Candidatus Zambryskibacteria bacterium RIFCSPHIGHO2_02_FULL_39_82. Its description in RNAcentral is "tRNA-Lys". It matches the Rfam family "tRNA". Rfam says of the family: Transfer RNA (tRNA) molecules are approximately 80 nucleotides in length. Their secondary structure includes four short double-helical elements and three loops (D, anti-codon, and T loops). Lineage: Bacteria; Candidatus Zambryskiibacteriota. The record is from RNAcentral. RNAcentral also lists the same sequence under 1 other name.